UUUAGAUGGCGACCGGCGCACGGGUGAGUAACACGUAUCCAACCUGCCGAUGACUCGGGGAUAGCCUUUCGAAAGAAAGAUUAAUACCCGAUGGCAUAGUUCUUCCGCAUGGUAGAACUAUUAAAGGAUUUCAGUCAUCGAUGGGGAUGCGUUCCAUUAGGUUGUUGGCGGGGUAACGGCCCACCAAGCCUUCGAUGGAUAGGGGUUCUGAGAGGAAGGUCCCCCACAUUGGAACUGAGACACGGUCCAAACUCCUACGGGAGGCAGCAUG
This 271-nucleotide ribosomal RNA is filed under the name uncultured bacterium. Its description in RNAcentral is "partial 16S ribosomal RNA". It matches the Rfam family "Bacterial small subunit ribosomal RNA", at positions 83 to 353 of the family's 1533-position model. The record is from RNAcentral.